CAUAAAUUGAAUGUCAGUUCCAUUCAGAGAAAAUAGAGCAUUCACGUAUUCCAGUCCUGUCUGGAUCCCAUGACUUGGUAAGCUCCAGGAAUGGUCAGGUAUACCAUGAAUAUAACAAAUGAAGAAAUUCAACAAUGUAAAAGCCCUGGAUCCAGAAAGGAUUAAGCUGAAAUUCACAUUGCUGCAGGUGAAAAGGAAUUAGCAUCCGG
Molecule: unclassified non-coding RNA, 209 nt
Filed under: Hevea brasiliensis (rubber tree)
Lineage: Eukaryota; Viridiplantae; Streptophyta; Magnoliopsida; Malpighiales; Euphorbiaceae
Source: RNAcentral